GAUCCUUUCCUGAAUUCCUCCCGCAUUGUUCCACUAGGACCUCUACCUGCAGGAGCCUGGUGCUGGACAUCCUGUUCUGUUGCAAUGCCUUUCCUCAGUCUUGCAUCCACACCAAGCCAUGCAGCUCUUCCUGCUGAGGCCAGUGCAGCCAGACAGACAUCGAGACCUUUCUAGACGGCCAGAAGGUACCAGUCUGCACAUCACAAAUACCAAGGAAUAUGGUGUUUCCAGGAAUCUGCUCCCACUAUGUCCAAGUUUGAGGAGAAGCACCCUUGAUCCAAUUGAAAAAAUGCAUAGCAACCUCUUGAAAGAUUCCUCACUCGCAAGUCUCUGCAACUCAUAAUGAAUAUUUAACUUUCUCUUAUAUACUUUUAGAUAUUUUCAAAAAAUGUUCUGAAGGUGCCUACCCUGCUAUUAUCCUGGGGAUCCGAAUGUCCUGAAAGAAAUUCAGCACACCAAGCUGAACACUCUUCCUAAACUCCUGGGUGAUUAAGAAAUAGACUUCCUUCUUACUGAGCAACAGUCUGUGAAUCUAUUUGUUAUUCCAAGUUGGUCUAACCUAACACACAGUUAUUUUUAAAAAUAAAUUCAUCAAA
Molecule: long non-coding RNA, 596 nt
Organism: Symphalangus syndactylus (siamang)
Lineage: Eukaryota; Metazoa; Chordata; Mammalia; Primates; Hylobatidae
Source: RefSeq, a predicted model, not a curated record